CCUACGGGAGGCAGCAGUGAGGAAUAUUGGUCAAUGGCCGGGAGGCUGAACCAGCCAAGUCGCGUGAAGGAUUACGGCCCUACGUGUUGUAAACCUCUUUUGUCAGGGAGCAAAUGCGUCCACGUGUGGGCUGAGGGAGAGUACCUGAAGAAAAAGCAUCGGCUAACUCCGUGCCAGCAGCCGCGGUAAUACGGAGGAUGCGAGCGUUAUCCGGAUUUAUUGGGUUUAAAGGGUGCGUAGGCGGAAUAUCAAGUCAGCGGUAAAAAUUCGGGGCUCAACCCCGUCGUGCCGUUGAAACUGAUGUUCUUGAGUGGGCGAGAAGUAUGCGGAAUGCGUGGUGUAGCGGUGAAAUGCAUAGAUAUCACGCAGAACGCCGAUUGCGAAGGCAGCAUACCGGCGCCCAACUGACGCUGAGGCACGAAAGCGUGGGUAUCGAACAGGAUUAGAUACCCGAGUAGUC
This 460-nucleotide ribosomal RNA is filed under the name uncultured bacterium. RNAcentral's name for it is "partial 16S ribosomal RNA". It matches the Rfam family "Bacterial small subunit ribosomal RNA", at positions 338 to 795 of the family's 1533-position model. The record is from RNAcentral.